AUGAAGGAGGUGGUGCUCCACGUGUACGACGUGACCAACAGCGACUCCGAAAAGACCAACAACACCAUCCUCCAGAUCAACCGCAUCUUCAAGGACCGCAUCGGCCUCGGCGGCAUCUUCCACAGCGCCGUCCAGGUCCUCCACCCUGCGCCUCCCGCUCUCCCGGAUCCCGGCGACGCAUUCUGCCUGCGUGCUUACCCCCACCUCCUCCAGAUCCCCAAUUCUCAUUUCCCGAUGUGUCGCGUGCAGGUCUAUGGCGAGGAGGAGUGGUCGUUCGGGUUCUGCGAGAACGGCAGCGGGGUGUUCAGCUGCCCCGUGAGCAAGAACCCCAUGUACACAUACCGCGAGCGCAUCGUCCUCGGGGAGACGGAGUGCACCAUAGCCACCGUGAACAGGAUCCUGCGCGAGCUCAGCCGCGACUGGCCAGGGCACUCCUACGACCUCCUUUCCAGGAACUGCAACCACUUCUGCGACGUGCUCUGCGACAGGCUCGGCGUCCCCAAGCUUCCAGGCUGGGUUAAUCGUUUUGCCAAUGCCGGCGAUACAGCUGUGGUGGUUGCUGAGAAUACAGCAGUUAAGUUCAGGCAGGCUAAAACAGAAAUUGUCAAUGCUAGUAGAGUAGCAUAUAGAUUUAUGGCAGGCCUGACUUCGAAAAACCAGGCUUCACAAGAGUCUCCUGGUGAACAAAAUAGAGGCAGCCCUACUUUCCAAGGAACAUGGUUCAAGAAUGUUGUUUCAGCUGGCGCGAAGCCAUCUACAAGCGGGUCAACUCCCUCACAAGAAGCUGAUGAUGCACCUCCCUUGCAGCGCCAACAAUCAGCAGAGCAACCAAUAAGGUUGUAG
This 843-nucleotide ribosomal RNA is filed under the name Triticum aestivum (bread wheat). RNAcentral's name for it is "partial small subunit ribosomal RNA". Lineage: Eukaryota; Viridiplantae; Streptophyta; Magnoliopsida; Poales; Poaceae. The record is from RNAcentral.